CAGCAGCCGCGGUAAUACGUAGGGUGCGAGCGUUAAUCGGAAUUACUGGGCGUAAAGCGUGCGCAGGCGGUUCGCUAAGUCUGAUGUGAAAGCCCCGGGCUCAACCUGGGAACUGCAUUGGAAACUGGCGAGCUUGAGUGUGGCAGAGGGGGGUGGAAUUCCACGUGUAGCAGUGAAAUGCGUAGAGAUGUGGAGGAACACCGAUGGCGAAGGCAGCCCCCUGGGCUAACACUGACGCUCAGGCACGAAAGCGUGGGGAGCAAACAGGAUUAGAUACCCUGGUAGUCCACGCCCUAAACUAUGUCAACUGGGUGUUGGGGAAGCGAUUCCUCAGUACCGUAGCUAACGCGUGAAGUUGACCGCCUGGGGAGUACGGCCGCAAGGUUAAAACUCAAAGGAAUUGACGG
This 407-nucleotide ribosomal RNA is filed under the name uncultured bacterium. RNAcentral's name for it is "bacterial SSU rRNA". It matches the Rfam family "Bacterial small subunit ribosomal RNA", at positions 509 to 916 of the family's 1533-position model. The record is from RNAcentral.